RNAcentral lists this ribosomal RNA (504 nucleotides) under uncultured bacterium. RNAcentral describes it as "partial 16S ribosomal RNA". It matches the Rfam family "Bacterial small subunit ribosomal RNA", at positions 29 to 523 of the family's 1533-position model. The record is from RNAcentral.
AACGAACGCUGGCGGCGUGUCUUAAGCAUGCAAGUCGUGCGGCAAGGCGGGGCAACCUGCCCUAGAGCGGCGGACUGGUGAGUAACGCGUGGGUGAUCUGCCCUUGGGAUGGGGAUAGCCUCUAGAAAUAGAGGGUAAUACCGAAUACGUUCGGCGGGGUAAGCCCGUCGAGGAAAAGCGCUUCGGCGCUGCCCGAGGAUGAGCCCGCGUCCCAUUAGCUAGUUGGUGGGGUAACGGCCCACCAAGGCUAUGAUGGGUAGCCGGCCUGAGAGGGUGUACGGCCACACUGGGACUGAGAUACGGCCCAGACUCCUACGGGAGGCAGCAGCUAAGAAUAUUCCGCAAUGGACGAAAGUCUGACGGAGCGACGCCGCGUGGAUGACGAAGGCCGAAAGGUUGUAAAGUCCUUUUGUUGGGGAAGAAUAACCAUGGGAGGGAAUGCCCGUGGGAUGACAUGAACCGACGAAUAAGCCCCGGCUAACUACGUGCCAGCCGCCGCAGUAA